GAUGAACGCUGGCGGCGUGCCUAAUACAUGCAAGUAGAACGCUGAAGCUUGGUGCUUGCACCGAGCGGAUGAGUUGCGAACGGGUGAGUAACGCGUAGGUAACCUGCCUGGUAGCGGGGGAUAACUAUUGGAAACGAUAGCUAAUACCGCAUAACAGUAGAUAUUGCAUGAUAUCUGCUUGAAAGGGGCAAUUGCUCCACUACCAGAUGGACCUGCGUUGUAUUAGCUAGUUGGUGAGGUAACGGCUCACCAAGGCGACGAUACAUAGCCGACCUGAGAGGGUGAUCGGCCACACUGGGACUGAGACACGGCCCAGACUCCUACGGGAGGCAGCAGUAGGGAAUCUUCGGCAAUGGACGGAAGUCUGACCGAGCAACGCCGCGUGAGUGAAGAAGGUUUUCGGAUCGUAAAGCUCUGUUGUAAGAGAAGAACGAGUGUGAGAGUGGAAAGUUCACA
RNAcentral lists this ribosomal RNA (456 nucleotides) under Streptococcus sp. oral taxon 066. RNAcentral describes it as "bacterial SSU rRNA". It matches the Rfam family "Bacterial small subunit ribosomal RNA", at positions 28 to 468 of the family's 1533-position model. The record is from RNAcentral. Lineage: Bacteria; Bacillati; Bacillota; Bacilli; Lactobacillales; Streptococcaceae.